GAUCCUGCCGGACCUGACUGCUAUCGGAUUGAUACUAAGCCAUGCGAGUCAUUGUAGCAAUACAAGGCAGACGGCUCAGUAACGCGUAGUCAAUCUACCCUAUGGACGGGAAUAACCUCGGGAAACUGAGAAUAAUGCCCGAUAGAACAUUAUGCCUGGAAUGGUUUAUGUUUCAAAUGAUUUAUCGCCAUAGGAUGGGACUGCGGCCUAUCAGUUUGUUGGUGAGGUAAUGGCCCACCAAGACUAUUACAGGUACGGGCUCUGAGAGGAGUAGCCCGGAGAUGGGUACUGAGACACGGACCCAGGCCCUAUGGGGCGCAGCAGGCGAGAAAACUUUGCAAUGUGCGAAAGCACGACAAGGUUAACCCGAGUGGUUUCUGCUAAAGAAACCUUUUGUCAGUCCUAGAAACACUAACGAAUAAGGGGUGGGCAAGUUCUGGUGUCAGCCGCCGCGGUAAAACCAGCACCUCAAGUGGUCAGGAUGAUUAUUGGGCCUAAAGCAUCCGUAGCUCGUUUUGUAAGUUUUCGGUUAAAUCCAUGCGCUUAACGUAUGGGCUGCCGGGAAUACUGCAUAACUAGGAAGUGGGAGAGGUAGACGGUACUCGGUAGGAAGGGGUAAAAUCCUUUGAUCUAUUGAUGACCACCUGUGGCGAAGGCGGUCUACCAGAACACGUUCGACGGUGAGGGAUGAAAGCUGGGGGAGCAAACCGGAUUAGAUACCCGGGUAGUCCCAGCUGUAAACUAUGCAAACUCAGUGAUGCAUUGGCUCGUGGCCAAUGCAGUGCUGCAGGGAAGCCGUUAAGUUUGCCGCCUGGGAAGUACGUACGCAAGUAUGAAACUUAAAGGAAUUGGCGGGGGAGCACCACAAGGGGUGAAGCCUGCGGUUCAAUUGGAGUCAACGCCGG
RNAcentral lists this ribosomal RNA (905 nucleotides) under uncultured archaeon. RNAcentral describes it as "bacterial SSU rRNA". It matches the Rfam family "Archaeal small subunit ribosomal RNA", at positions 10 to 921 of the family's 1478-position model. The record is from RNAcentral.